This 322-nucleotide unclassified non-coding RNA is filed under the name Hevea brasiliensis (rubber tree). The record is from RNAcentral. Lineage: Eukaryota; Viridiplantae; Streptophyta; Magnoliopsida; Malpighiales; Euphorbiaceae.
UGCUUUUAUUCAAAAAAGUAGUUUUAGGUUCUGAAACUCAAUGACAAAAUAUACAAUGUUGGGAAAUGGAAAUUCUCCCUAUCAUGCUUUAACUUGCCAGAAAGAUAUGUGAAUGACAGGUUCCUUUAAUGUCUUUGCCCCAUAAAAUUUACAAGAAUUCCUUGGAAUGCCAUUUUCUCUUGUACUAUGCUUGCUGAUCUCAAUCGCAUUGUAUGACACCGGGAAUUUGCUGAGCGAUUUCACUUACAACUCAUCUUCAGCCAAAGAGUGCAACAUCUAAUUUCAUUGGAUUUGGAUAUAGAGCAGAAAACUGUGGUAGGAU